This 293-nucleotide ribosomal RNA is filed under the name uncultured bacterium. RNAcentral describes it as "partial 16S ribosomal RNA". It matches the Rfam family "Archaeal small subunit ribosomal RNA", at positions 455 to 747 of the family's 1478-position model. The record is from RNAcentral.
GUGCCAGCCGCCGCGGUAAUACCGGCAGCCCGAGUGAUGGCCGAUCUUAUUGGGCCUAAAGCGUCCGUAGCUGGCCGCGCAAGUCCGUCGGGAAAUCCACCUGCCCAACAGGUGGGCGUCCGGCGGAAACUGUGUGGCUUGGAACCGGAAGGCUCAGAGGGUACGUCCGGGGUAGGAGUGAAAUCCCGUAAUCCCGGACGGACCACCGAUGGCGAAAGCACUCUGAGAAGGCGGCUUCGACAGUGAGGGACGAAAGCGCGGGGAGCAAACAGGAUUAGAUACCCGUGUAGUCC